This is a long non-coding RNA of Hemicordylus capensis (graceful crag lizard), 731 nucleotides long. RefSeq lists it as uncharacterized. The record is from RefSeq and is a predicted model, not a curated record. The transcript is spliced from 3 exons. NCBI's taxonomy places the organism in Eukaryota, Metazoa, Chordata, Lepidosauria, Squamata, Cordylidae.
GCCCCAGGACAGAGGCAGGGACUGCUGAACUCUCUGCUUCUUAAAACUAUGGUUCAGAGUAGACCCACCCUCAGAGAGAACCUGAGCCAUGGGAAGGAAUCCAGGCAGAGGCAGCGAAACCAAAAAAAGAACAAUUCAAGAGUGAAGAACUGCCCCCCGCCUCUGCUUCCAUUCCAUGAUCCUGCGGCUUUGAAACCUCUUCCCACAAUGACAAAGGCAGAGAACACCACCUCUGCCUCCGCUCUGUUCUAGCAUGGAUCUGGAACAUCUUCGAAAAACUGAGGCCGGGCCCCAGGAGAGAGGCAGGGAGCUGGGACUUAGCCAUGCUCAGAAGACCCCAUCGAAGGGGGAAGGAAGAAGAAGGAGAAAGGCAAAUUGGUGCAAAGAGGGAGAGGCAACGGCCUGAUGACCCAGUUCCCAGAAAUCCCCAGCCCAGACAGCUGUGGGUGGAGGAACAGGUAGAGGGACUGACCCUUCAGUGUGCUGGAAGUUAAAGGACUUUGCGCUGUCUCUUUGUCUCAGACAGUGGAGGACAGACUAGUAAGUCAGAGGGCUAGAGGGUCAAGACAUUGGUCAUCCCUUCUCCACUGCUCUGAUGCUAUCCCUUUGAUGUGUAGAUUGCUAAUCUCAGGGACUUCCCUCCUUCCUCUCUCUUCCUACCUGGCCUCCUACCUUGCAACACGGCAAGCUCCUCUCCCUGCACCAUGUGUGCAGAGAGGAUGCAGAAUCCG